AGCGGCGGAUGGGUGAGUAACACGUGGGGAACCUGCCCCUAAGUCUGGGAUACCAUUUGGAAACAGGUGCUAAUACCGGAUAAUAAAGCAGAUCGCAUGAUCAGCUUUUGAAAGGCGGCGUAAGCUGUCGCUAAGGGAUGGCCCCGCGGUGCAUUAGCUAGUUGGUAAGGUAACGGCUUACCAAGGCGACGAUGCAUAGCCGAGUUGAGAGACUGAUCGGCCACAUUGGGACUGAGACACGGCCCAAACUCCUACGGGAGGCAGCAGUAGGGAAUCUUCCACAAUGGACGCAAGUCUGAUGGAGCAACGCCGCGUGAGUGAAGAAGGUUUUCGGAUCGUAAAGCUCUGUUGUUGGUGAAGAAGGAUAGAGGUAGUAACUGGCCUUUAUUUGACGGUAAUCAACCAGAAAGUCACGGCUAACUACGUGCCAGCAGCCGCGGUAAUACGUAGGUGGCAAGCGUUGUCCGGAUUUAUUGGGCGUAAAGCGAGCGCAGGCGGAAAAAUAAGUCUAAUGUGAAAGCCCUCGGCUUAACCGAGGAACUGCAUCGGAAACUGUUUUUCUUGAGUGCAGAAGAGGAGAGUGGAACUCCAUGUGUAGCGGUGGAAUGCGUAGAUAUAUGGAAGAACACCAGUGGCGAAGGCGGCUCUCUGGUCUGCAACUGACGCAGAGGCUCGAAAGCAUGGGUAGCGAACAGGAUUAGACACCCUGGUAGUCCAUGCCGUAAACGAUGAGUGCUAAGUGU
RNAcentral lists this ribosomal RNA (743 nucleotides) under uncultured bacterium. RNAcentral's name for it is "bacterial SSU rRNA". It matches the Rfam family "Bacterial small subunit ribosomal RNA", at positions 94 to 823 of the family's 1533-position model. The record is from RNAcentral.